Molecule: ribosomal RNA, 506 nt
Filed under: uncultured bacterium
Lineage: Bacteria
Description: partial 16S ribosomal RNA
Rfam family: Bacterial small subunit ribosomal RNA
Source: RNAcentral
AGUGAACGCUGGCGGUAGGCCUAACACAUGCAAGUCGAACGGCAGCACAGAGGAGCUUGCUCCUUGGGUGGCUAGUGGCGGACGGGUGAGGAGUACAUCGGAAUCUACUCUGUCGUGGGGGAUAACGUAGGGAAACUUACGCUAAUACCGCCUACGACCUACGGGUGAAAGCAGGGGAACUUCGGGCCUUGCGCGAUGGACAGAGCCGAGGUCGGAUUAGCUAGUUGGCGGGGUAAAGGCCCACCAAGGCGACGAUCCGUAGCUGGUCUGAGAGGAUGGUCAGCCACACUGGAACUGAGACACGGUCCAGACUCAUACGGGAGGCAGCAGUGGGGAAUAUUGGACAAUGGGCGAAAGCCUGAUCCAGCCAUACCGCGUGGGUGAAGAAGGCCUUCGGGUUGUAAAGCCCUUUUGUUGGGAAAGAAAUCCAGCUGGCUAAUACCCGGUUGGGAUGACGGUACCCAAAGAAUAAGCACCGGCUAACUUCGUGCCAGCCGCCGCGGUAA